CACACAUUCAAUUGAUGAACACUAGUGUAAACAUAAGGAACACAAUUUUUGACUUAAAAAAUUCACUUUCUUUUUAUUUUGCAGGAAUCGUUAGAUUGGAAUGUUUGAAUUAGAAACCGGUAGCAAAUAAGCCCACGAAGGCCAUUUCUGCAUGCUAUAAUGUGUUGGAAAAAAGAAAGAUGUCAAAAAGGUAUGACAAAUAUGUAAUUAAGCUUAUGUAGGUGUAUCUUUUCUAUAUCUGUAUACCUAGGUCAAGAAAUCGACUUAUGUAAUUUAAUGUAAAACUUGCAUUUCACUGCCAUUAUCAAAUCUAUGAUACUCCAAUAUAUAUAUGAUCGAAAAUCCAAUUAAAGCCUAACACUAUUGCAUGAAUUUGAUGCUUAUGAACAACUCUCUUCUAUUAAUUUUAAAUUUAUUUUGCAGGAUAUAUAGGCGCAUAGACAUUACUUGUUGUGGAGGAUUUUGACAUUAGAAGUUGAUGAUAACACAUAAAAUGCCAAGUUGAACUAGUUGAUAGCUUUUAGUGAAGAUGCACUGAAAAGUUGAGCGUACAUUGUGUGUGAUCGUACUAGAACUGUUGGAAUUUGAAAACUUUUAAACUUUCAUUGUGACAAAUAUCUAUAUCAUAAACUAUCUACUUAUCACAUUGACAUGCUUUUU
RNAcentral lists this long non-coding RNA (660 nucleotides) under Mytilus galloprovincialis (Mediterranean mussel). Lineage: Eukaryota; Metazoa; Mollusca; Bivalvia; Mytilida; Mytilidae. The record is from RNAcentral.